GACGAACGCUGGCGGCGGGCUUAACACAUGCAAGUCGAACGGAAAGGCCCUGCUUUUGUGGGGUGCUCGAGUGGCGAACGGGUGAGUAACACGUGAGUAACCUGCCCUUGACUUUGGGAUAACUUCAGGAAACUGGGGCUAAUACCGGAUAGGAGCUCCUGCUGCAUGGUGGGGGUGGGAAAGUUUCGGCGGUUGGGGAUGGACUGGCGGCUUAUCAGCUUGUUGGUGGGGUAGUGGCUUACCAAGGCUUUGACGGGUAGCCGGCCUGAGAGGGUGACCGGCCACAUUGGGACUGAGAUACGGCCCAGACUCCUACGGGAGGCAGCAGUGGGGAAUAUUGCACAAUGGGCGGAAGCCUGAUGCAGCAACGCCGCGUGCGGGAUGACGGCCUUCGGGUUGUAAACCGCUUUCGCCUGUGACGAAGCGUGAGUGACGGUAAUGGGUAAAGAAGCACCGGCUAACUACGUG
This 468-nucleotide ribosomal RNA is filed under the name uncultured bacterium. Its description in RNAcentral is "partial 16S ribosomal RNA". It matches the Rfam family "Bacterial small subunit ribosomal RNA", at positions 28 to 507 of the family's 1533-position model. The record is from RNAcentral.